RNAcentral lists this ribosomal RNA (497 nucleotides) under uncultured bacterium. RNAcentral describes it as "partial 16S ribosomal RNA". It matches the Rfam family "Bacterial small subunit ribosomal RNA", at positions 28 to 507 of the family's 1533-position model. The record is from RNAcentral.
GAUGAACGCUGGCGGCGUGCCUAAUACAUGCAAGUCGAGCGAACAGACGAGGAGCUUGCUCCUCUGACGUUAGCGGCGGACGGGUGAGUAACACGUGGAUAACCUACCUAUAAGACUGGGAUAACUUCGGGAAACCGGAGCUAAUACCGGAUAAUAUAUUGAGCCGCAUGGUUCAAUAGUGAAAGACGGUUUUGCUGUCACUUAUAGAUGGAUCCGCGCCGCAUUAGCUAGUUGGUAAGGUAACGGCUUACCAAGGCAACGAUGCGUAGCCGACCUGAGAGGGUGAUCGGCCACACUGGAACUGAGACACGGUCCAGGCUCCUACGGGAGGCAGCAGUAGGGAAUCUUCCGCAAUGGGCGAAAGCCUGACGGAGCAACGCCGCGUGAGUGAUGAAGGUCUUCGGAUCGUAAAACUCUGUUAUUAGGGAAGAACAAAUGUGUAAGUAACUAUGCACGUCUUGACGGUACCUAAUCAGAAAGCCACGGCUAACUACGUG